This 132-nucleotide ribosomal RNA is filed under the name Cladophialophora chaetospira. RNAcentral describes it as "partial large subunit ribosomal RNA". Lineage: Eukaryota; Fungi; Ascomycota; Eurotiomycetes; Chaetothyriales; Herpotrichiellaceae. The record is from RNAcentral.
GUUCUGAGGGUCGGUUAAAGGCCUUGGGAAUGUAUCUACCUACGGGUAGACUUAUAGACCAGGGUGUCAUGCGGCCUCUCGGGACCGAGGAACGCGCUUCGGCUCGGAUGUUGGCGUAAUGGUUGUCAGCGA